This is a long non-coding RNA of Neofelis nebulosa (Clouded leopard), 1850 nucleotides long. RefSeq lists it as uncharacterized. Lineage: Eukaryota; Metazoa; Chordata; Mammalia; Carnivora; Felidae. The transcript has 6 exons. The record is from RefSeq and is a predicted model, not a curated record.
ACGUGCCCGAGGGAGGGAGUAAUGCUUUCUGGCCGAUUUACGUACGGCAGCCAUUUCGCGAGCGUUGGUUUACCGGCGGUCUGACCGCCGAUUCUGGAGUGUAGGGUGACUCCAACCGCUCGGUGUUUUGCACUUGCAUUAACCGCAUCCGCACUUUGGCUAUCGCCACUCGGCACACGGACGGUCAUUGACCAGAGGACUCUGAAAAUAAUGUAGAACUGCAGCAACACAGGGUCCUGUGUGCCUACCCCUGUCAUCGGCAGCCCCCACACUAACAUAGAGUUGAGGAAGAGUUUCCCAAAGGAAUCUGAAGAAAGAAGAGUAAACCUGGGCCCACAGCAAAGGAUGGGGAAAGCUAUGUAAACAAGGAGCUACAAUUCCUUCAAUCCCCAGCCAUCUUACACUUGACAGGAAGAUAAUAAGCAACUACAUUUUCUCCAUGCAAAAACCCUUCCAGGUUGUGAGUGCCAUAAAUAUAACGGAUUGUACUGUACUCAUCACUAGUAUGACGGCAUCUCCCUCUCUCCAUAGGAUCUCAAUGAGGUGGUCUCAGUACAAUCACAAGAGUCCUUAUAAGAAGGAGGGGAGUCAGGAGGGUCAGAGACAGAGAAGAUGUACAGAUGGAAUCAGAAGUGGAAGUGAUGCUAUUGCUGGAAGAGGACCGUGAGCCAAGGAAUGCAGAUAACUUCCAGAAGUUUGAAAAGGCAAAGAACAAAUUCUCUCCUUGAGCUCCAGAAGAAAUAUAGGACUAACUGCCUGUGUUUAGCCCUGUAAGACCAGUUUUUGGACUUCUGACCUCUAGAAUUAUAAGAUAAUAAAUUUGUGUUGUUUCAAGCCACUAAAUUUGAGUAAUUUAUUACAGCAGCAGUGGGAAACUCAAGUUUCCUUUAGUUUUCCACUUCUGGAAGUAAGAAAUGACUUGCUCCAGGAAUAUAAAAUAGACAGGGGAAAGGAGCCUUAGAUCACUGACCUAAAUUUUAUUUGAUUAUUUGCUCUCUUUUGAAAGACUAGGACCUGUGACAGUAAUUUCAGUAGAUCACAUUAGAUGGUGCUCUUUCUUAGUUAAGUCAUACAAAUUAGUAGCUAAGAUUUUUUUUUUCACAAAGCAUAAUUUUUAGAAUUUUUAUAGCUAUAACCUACAAAUGAACCACUUCCUUUGCCUAAUGUAGAUAAUAUUUAUUAACAUUGUACAACUUUAAGUCUUGCAGUCUCUGUGACUACUUUGACCUAUAAUAGAAGCUCCUUGGUUAACCAAAAAAUGUCAAGGUUGAUGAAAAAAAUCAGGGAAUAACUAAGAAUUGUAUAUAUAAUUCAUGUUUAUUUUUUAGAUUUAUUUAAAAUUUUUUUUUAAGUUAAUUUUAUUUAUUUUGAGAGAGAGAGAGAGAGCAAGCAGGGGAGGGACAGAGAAAGAGGGAGAUAGAAUCCCAAACAGCCUCUCCACCAUCAGCACAAAGUCCGAUGCAGGGUUUGAAUUCACAAACCAUGAGAUCAUGACCUGAGCUGAAAUCAAGAGUCAGAUGCUUAACUGACUAAGCCACCCAGGCACCCCUAUUUUUUAGUCAUAAAACAUAAAUGUACAUGCGCUCAUGAAUCUUGUGAUGGCUAAGGCCUUUUCUGUAAGAGUCCCUUGAUUGGUAUUUUAUCUCAUUGUUCUUAGAUAAAGCUAUCCUUAAUGUUUUGCCUACAACUUCCAGUUUUGGUUUCUUUAAAGUAGUAAGAAUUUAAAGACAUGUGGAGAAAAUUUGAACACAAGAAUUUUUAAAAUAAUUUUCCCACAUAUUGUGUUUGAAUUUCUAUAAUUUUCUCCCAUUUUUUACAAGAUUUUCCUCCUAACCUAUUUGACACUAUUU